UUGGCUUAGAAGCAGCCAUCGUUUAAAGAAAGCGUAAUAGCUCACUGGUCUAAUGGCUCUGCGCCGAAAAUGUAACGGGGCUAAGCAUGGUACCGAAGCUUUGGCAAUCUCCUUUGGAGAUUGGGUAGGGGAGCGUUCGCUGCGGGCUGAAGGUGUAUCGGAAGGUAUGCUGGACUGCAGUGAAGUGAUUAUGCUGACAUGAGUAACGAUAAAAUAUGUGAAAAACAUAUUCGCCGAAAACCCGAGGUUUCCUGGGUAAAGGUAAUCUUCCCAGGGUUAGUCGGAUCCUAAGGUGAGGGUGAAAGCCGUAACCGAUGGAAAACAGGUUAAUAUUCCUGUACUUGUUGUGUAGCGCGAUGGAGGGACGCAGGAAGAUAGGCGGGCCGGGUGUUGGAUAUCCCGGUGCAAGCGUGUAGGAAUAUCCGGUAGGCAAAUCCGCCGGACGAAUCUGAGACGCGAGUCCGUGGGCGCAAGCCCUGAAGCCGUUGAGUCUAUGCUGCCUAGAAAAGCUCCUAAGUUUAUCCACAGCAAUCCGUACCGCAAACCAACUCAGGUGGGUGGGAUGAACAAUCCAAGGCGCUCGAGAGAACUCUGGCCAAGGAACUCGGCAAAAUAACCCCGUAACUUCGGAAGAAGGGGUGCUCUCUAGGGUGACAUGUUUAACAUAUGAAGCCCCGGGGAGCCGCAGUGAAUUGGUGGUGGCGACUGUUUACUAAAAACAUAGGUCUGUGCGAAGUCCUAAAGACGACGUAUACGGACUGACGCCUGCCCGGUGCUGGAAGGUUAAAAGGAGGGGUCAGCGCAAGCAAAGCUCCGAAUUGAAGCCCCAGUAAACGGCGGCCGUAACUAUAACGGUCCUAAGGUAGCGAAAUUCCUUGUCGGGUAAGUUCCGACCUGCACGAAUGGCGUAACGAUCUCCACACUGUCUCGGCCAGAGACUCGGUGAAAUUGAAGUCGCGGUGAAAAUGCCGUGUACCCGCAGAAAGACGGAAAGACCCUGUGCACCUUUACUAUAGCUUGACAUUGGAUUUUGGGCCUGCAUGUGUAGGAUAGGUGGGAGGCUGUGAACCCUGUACGCCAGUAUGGGGGGAGCCAUCCUUGAAAUACCACCCUUGCAUGUUUAAGAUCCUAACUUCUUCCGGUUAUCCCGGAGAAAGACAGUGUCUGGCGGGUAGUUUGACUGGGGCGGUCGCCUCCUAAAGUGUAACGGAGGCAUGCAAAGGUUCCCUCAGCCUGAUCGGAAACCAGGCGCUGAGUGCAAACGCAUAAGGGAGCUUGACUGUAAGAGAGACAUCUCGAACAGGAACGAAAGUUGGCGUUAGUGAUCCGGUGGUCCCGAAUGGAAGGGCCAUCGCUCAUUGGAUAAAAGGUACGCCGGGGAUAACAGGCUGAUCGCAUCCAAGAGUUCACAUCGACGAUGCGGUUUGGCACCUCGAUGUCGGCUCAUCACAUCCUGGGGCUGAAGCAGGUCCCAAGGGUACGGCUGUUCGCCGUUUAAAGUGGUACGCGAGCUGGGUUUAAAACGUCGUGAGACAGUUUGGUCCCUAUCUUCUGUGGGCGAAGGAGAAUUGAGAGGGCCUGUCCCUAGUACGAGAGGACCGGGAUGGACGCACCCCUGGUGAUCCUGUUGUCGCGCCAGCGGCAUAGCAGGGUAGCUAUGUGCGGAAGGGAUAACCGCUGAAAGCAUCUAAGCGGGAAGCCUGCCUCAAGAUAAGUUCUCCCCUCGAAAGAGCUGAAGGGCCCGGGUAGACUACCCGGUCGAUAGGCUGGAGGUGUAAGCGCGGCGACGUGCUCAGCUGACCAGUACUAAUAGCCCGAGCGGCUUAUUUUU
Molecule: ribosomal RNA, 1831 nt
Filed under: human gut metagenome
Description: bacterial LSU rRNA
Rfam family: Bacterial large subunit ribosomal RNA
Source: RNAcentral